This 216-nucleotide unclassified non-coding RNA is filed under the name rhizosphere metagenome. RNAcentral describes it as "partial ribosomal RNA internal transcribed spacer region". The record is from RNAcentral.
GUAGGUGAACCUGCGGAAGGAUCAUUACAGAGAAUAUCGCCCUCACGGGUGACUCUCCAACCCUAUGUUAUUGUACCUUUGUUGCUUUGGCGAGCCGCUUCGGCCACCGGCUCGCGCUGGUGAGUGCUCGCCAGAGGACCCCAAACUCUGAAUUAUUAGUGUCGUCUGAGUACUAUAUAAUAGUUAAAACUUUCAACAACGGAUCUCUUGGUUCUG